AACGAACGCUGGCGGCAUGCCUAACACAUGCAAGUCGAACGAGACCUUCGGGUCUAGUUGCGCACGGGUGCGUAACGCGUGGGAACCUGCCCUUAGGUUCGGAAUAACUCCCCGAAAGGGGUGCUAAUACCGGAUAAUGUCUUCGGACCAAAGAUUUAUCGCCUUUGGAUGGGCCCGCGUUGGAUUAGCUAGUUGGUAGGGUAAAAGCCUACCAAGGCGACGAUCCAUAGCUGGUCUGAGAGGAUGAUCAGCCACACUGGGACUGAGACACGGCCCAGACUCCUACGGGAGGCAGCAGCGGGGAAUAUUGGACAAUGGGCGAAAGCCUGAUCCAGCAAUGCCGCGUGAGUGAUGAAGGCCUUAGGGUUGUAAAGCUCUUUUACCCGGGAUGAUAAUGACAGUACCGGGAGAAUAAGCGCCGGCUAACUCCGUG
Molecule: ribosomal RNA, 433 nt
Filed under: uncultured bacterium
Lineage: Bacteria
Description: partial 16S ribosomal RNA
Rfam family: Bacterial small subunit ribosomal RNA
Source: RNAcentral